This 382-nucleotide long non-coding RNA is filed under the name Brassica napus (rape). RNAcentral describes it as "long non-coding RNA (BNAP_LNC012588)". Lineage: Eukaryota; Viridiplantae; Streptophyta; Magnoliopsida; Brassicales; Brassicaceae. The record is from RNAcentral.
UACUUCCAUAGUUUUAUACAUAUGGUUGUCGUGGUUGGAUAUGCCGUAAACAUUUAUAUCUUAUACAUUUUCUUUUGUUUUGCUUCAGUUAUGGCUGUUGUAUUAGUGGUUAGUGGUAAUUGUUUUAAUUUUCCUUAAUGUAGGAUCGAAUUGCAUGUGGAUUUUGGAGCUUAGAUUGUAGGCGAUUUGGGGUGACUAAUGAAAGAGUGAUAGGGAGAGCUCAUGUGAAUGUAUUUUACGCCGUAGUUAUUUUGUUGGUUUACUAUGUUCGCAGACCUUGAUUUCCAAGUAACUAUUUUUUUGUUUCGACUCAUUUUUUCUUGUCUGUUAACGUGGUUUAUUUUUUUGACACAUCUGUUGUUGUAUUUAGUAAUUUUUGGUG